RNAcentral lists this long non-coding RNA (2323 nucleotides) under Triticum aestivum (bread wheat). RNAcentral's name for it is "long non-coding RNA (TAES_LNC008698)". The record is from RNAcentral. Lineage: Eukaryota; Viridiplantae; Streptophyta; Magnoliopsida; Poales; Poaceae.
AGGGCAAGCCAUACAAGCCAGAGGGGCAGAAAGGUCAGUUCCUUUGCUUCAGCUUGUACUUUUCGUUGCACAGUUUGCCAUGAAGUAGGUAAUGAAAUGUUCUGCCUUACUAUGACGGGAUCCGAUCCGACAUGGAUUCAGGGUGGUCAACUAUUAUGAAAACAAAAAAUCGGACACUGGAUUUGAAUGCUUUCAGUAUCAAUGUCAAGGACAACCGGGAUGAAAAGUAUUUGGUAUUAGUAAAAUGACUGGAUUGCAUUAUAACUAAUUAAGUGCACUAGUCUGUUCAAUAAGUGUUUACUUUGGUUGUGAUAAUGUACUCGACUGUUACCAGCACUAAGAUUUAGGCCCUUUCUGAGUGCUGUCCUCUUAAUAUAUAAUUUGAUUAUUGAGUGGGCAAUAUAAUUCAAGCAAAUUAAUGAAGUGAUAAUAACCUUCGGAAUGCGUACAGUAGUGCAAUCUGGAAAUGCAUAGCCCAGUAAAAAUACCAAAACAGGACACUGGUUGCCUCUAGAACUGUGAAUUAGCAAAACAGUCAUACGGACAUAGGACAUUGUACUGCCAUUCUGCUCUGACUGAGUCAAAUUUUGACAUGCACACUGUUCUAAGCAUUGGACAUUAUUAUUAGUCUAUGCAUACCAAACUGAUACGCAGUUAAUAUAUGAACGAAAUUAAAAAUAUUUCCACUAUUGCGUGAUGGGGCUUUGAAUUCUCUUUUGUAUGUUCAGAUGCACUAAAGUUGUGUUCUUAUAUACGAUAAGACUGGAGGAUUGCCCCAAGUAAACUGUAUUCUGUAUUGUAUAUCUAGUGAAUUUUACCUGCUCACCAUUUGCAGACGUUAUAGUCAGAGAUUCAUUGGGGUGCGGAUUCAAGAAAAAUACUUAACUAGUCACUGUUAUGCUUGAUCAUUUAUAUAUCCCUAAGAAAAACAUGAUGGUUUUGUUUUGGGCAAUGGAAACUGAUUGCACGAGCAUGAGUGGAGGAAGAAUGAAAGAGGUACUCGAUAUGUUUGAUAGAAAUGUUAUUGACUUUGAAUCCCUUCCUAGCUGUUGGCUUAGUGGAAAGAGAUUUAAAAUCUUUAAUAUCAUCACUUCGUGAAUCCUGUGGGGGCUCUGGUUGAAGAUGGUAAUUAACCACAAGAUCUGGUUGAAUACGAAACAGGUGUGGAAGCACAUCCUCACGUCAGUAUGGGAGUGGAAUGUGCCGUUCAAAGAUGCAGAGGCAGUGGACUUAGACCGCUUCGGAGCCCCGUUAAUGGAGAACCUGAGAACUCCACUUCGGAGCUGAAGAGGGGGCUGGUGCCGAAGCUGCCAAGGAAACCUGCUGCCCAGCCGGCACAGCUCCACUACUACCUCAGUGCACAUCUAGUGGAGGAGUGAUGACAACACCCCUGUUGAGGUAAUCAUAAGCACACCAUGCUGUUCACCUCUUAAACCUGAAUUUUUUUGGUUUGCAUUUAGGCUUUAUUUUCGAUGCUAUGCAACGCUGAGUUUGCGGACGAUUUGAACCUGUUAGCACUGUAUGACUCGUUGGUUUCAUACUAUAAAAUGGACCUGUGGGGGCUCCACCCUGUUCAUCCAAAAAAAAAAUCCUUUCUGUUACCUGUAGGUAGACCACAUACUUAUUUUGAAUUGUUCUCUGAAUCUUAUCAACAGCUUAUCACCCCAUGGGCUAGGAGUGAUGUCUUGAACCAUUCCAAACUUGUAGAACCAAACCGAUAAUAACUGCACAAUGAAAGAUACAUGGACAUAUCCCGGUGGUAUCAUCAAGAAAGCUGAACUUGUUGCUUUAAGGAGUAUUGUCUUCCACACAAGUUCUAGUAAGAUGCUCAUACUUGAAAACACCUACUAGUCGUGGGCAUAUACACCCUGAGGCACUGUCUUCUCUGAUGCUUACCUUUUGGUUGAAAAUAGAAAAAAGUUAAAAUCAGCUAUCCUGAACAUACCAUCUGCUGGCCUUCAUAUUCUGCAUCCCACCAUAACAUGCUCAGCGUAACAUCGCCAUUGCUUGAGUGGCACCUAGUUUCCACAGCGUGUAUGCUCUUUUGUUGCGUUGCCUAUGUUGUCCUGUAUCAAUGUACUGACAAGUUAUUUUAUGUGCUCAUAUCAUGAAUAAGAAGAUUGUGAUUUUCCCUGUCUCAAUAGAAAACUGAGGAGAUAAUAGCAAGCACCAAGUAGCCAGAUCACAAGAAGAGAGAGGGCAAGUCUUGCUUGAUGCCAACGCCCUGUAAGCUGUAACUUAAGGAUCUUUCCACUCUGCUUUGCACUUGGAGUUUGUAUCUGACCUAUGUAGAUCUAGAUCAUGGACCUGUUCUUGCUGUUUC